Molecule: transfer RNA, 84 nt
Filed under: Endocarpon pusillum Z07020
Lineage: Eukaryota; Fungi; Ascomycota; Eurotiomycetes; Verrucariales; Verrucariaceae
Rfam family: tRNA
About the family: Transfer RNA (tRNA) molecules are approximately 80 nucleotides in length. Their secondary structure includes four short double-helical elements and three loops (D, anti-codon, and T loops).
Source: Rfam by way of RNAcentral
GCGCUGGUAGUUCAUCGGUAGAAUACUAGUUUUCCACAAUUAAACACAAAGCUGGGGAGUCGGGUUCAACUCCCGGCCAGCGCA